Molecule: long non-coding RNA, 261 nt
Organism: Phyllostomus discolor (pale spear-nosed bat)
Lineage: Eukaryota; Metazoa; Chordata; Mammalia; Chiroptera; Phyllostomidae
Exons: 2
Source: RefSeq, a predicted model, not a curated record
UUUGCAGCCUGGUAGACUAUUGGAUUAAACCCAACCUGCAUCCACACACAGUACAAAUGGCUCUUUUCUUAUUUAAGCCUCACUACCCUAAAGUAUAGUUUUUCUUAAGUAGACUGCAAAAUCAUAGUUUUCUUGCUGGGAAUCCUACUCUGCUUUUUAAAAAUUAUUAAACAUGUUCUUUUAAUCUGCUUUUGUUCACAUUACUUUGUCAUACUAUAUAAUUUCUGUGACUUUCAUUAUCUGAUUAAUGAACACCAUUAG